AGACUCUUAAGUGAAUUGACUUCCCAGACUAAUCUACAGUAUGCAAUUGGUCUUUGCAGGAGCCCACUAUUACUACUACCAGCACGACCCCUACUGUUCAAAUAUCUGGAAAACCUACAGCUGCAAAAGAUGCCAGCGCUACUAAUGGAAAAGCAACAUUCUUUAUAUUGAAGUGUUGGGCUUUACUUCAUAAAUAACCAACCAGCAAGAUGCAUGCAUCUCGGUAGCAUACUUUUAUAGCUUAGGCUAAACCUUUCUGUUCUGGUCAUCCCCGUACCCACCAGCACGUACAUACUUUUCAGCUACUGAUUAAACGGUGAUCUUAAAAUACAUUUAAAUGAAAAAAUAGGGGUCUAUCUGCUCUCACCAGUGUAGAUAUAAAUGCUGGACUAUUUCUUAGUUUUACAAAUGAUUGAUUAAAAGGAGUAAUGAAAUGUUAAAUAUUCUCACAAGUAAACAUAUUGGGCAAAGGCAAAUUGUAAAAAAAAUAGUAUAAUUGUUUAUCUAUUAAACAAGCUAAAAUCAAUUUUGGGCCUGAUAUUCAAAACUUGGUUUGUGGAUUUUAUGUAGAUUUAGUUUAACUCCCAGGAUUGUCCCCAACUCCCCAUUCAAGUUUGACCAUUCGAACCCUUUCCUCUCUCAGAUUCUCAAGUCCUUCUAAUAGGGUCUUUUGCUUUGUUAAAACGGCACCACAGUUUUGGCUGCCUCAGCAUGCUGGGGUUUGUGUUAAUUACUGUAUCUCAAUAAAACCAUUUGCAAUA
Molecule: long non-coding RNA, 761 nt
Organism: Acipenser ruthenus (sterlet)
Lineage: Eukaryota; Metazoa; Chordata; Actinopteri; Acipenseriformes; Acipenseridae
Exons: 2
Source: RefSeq, a predicted model, not a curated record